AUUGAACGCUGGCGGCAUGCUUUACACAUGCAAGUCGAACGGUAACAGGUUAAGCUGACGAGUGGCGAACGGGUGAGUAAUGCAUCGGAACGUGCCCGGUCGUGGGGGAUAACGCAGUGAAAGCUGCGCUAAUACCGCAUACGAUCUGAGGAUGAAAGCGGGGGACCGUAAGGCCUCGCGCGAUCGGAGCGGCCGAUGUCAGAUUAGGUAGUUGGUGGGGUAAAGGCUCACCAAGCCAACGAUCUGUAGCUGGUCUGAGAGGACGACCAGCCAGACUGGGACUGAGACACGGCCCAGACUCCUACGGGAGGCAGCAGUGGGGAAUUAUGGACAAUGGGCGAAAGCCUGAUCCAGCAAUGCCGCGUGCAGGAAGAAGGCCUUCGGGUUGUAAACUGCUUUUGUACGGAGCGAAAAGGUCUCCUCUAAUACAGGGGGCUCAUGACGGUACCGUAAGAAUAAGCACCGGCUAACUACGUGCCAGCCGCCGCAGUAA
This 493-nucleotide ribosomal RNA is filed under the name uncultured bacterium. RNAcentral's name for it is "partial 16S ribosomal RNA". It matches the Rfam family "Bacterial small subunit ribosomal RNA", at positions 29 to 523 of the family's 1533-position model. The record is from RNAcentral.